GAUGAAGAACGUAGUGAAAUGCGAUAAUUAAUGUGAAUUGCAGAAUUCAGUGAAUCAUCGAGUCUUUGAACGCACAUUGCGCCCCCUGGUAUUCCGGGGGGCAUGCCUGUCCGAGCGUCAUUGCUACCCUCAAGCACGGCUUGUGUGUUGGGCCUCCGUCCUCCUCCCGGGGGACGGGCCCGAAAGGCAGCGGCGGCACCGCGUCCGGUCCUCGAGCGUAUGGGGCUUCGUCACCCGCUCUUGUAGGCCCGGCCGGCGCUUGCCGACACAUCAAUCUUUUUUCCAGGUUGACCUCGGAUCAGGUAGGGAUACCCGCUGAACUUAAGCAUAUCAAUAAGCGGAGGA
RNAcentral lists this unclassified non-coding RNA (345 nucleotides) under soil metagenome. RNAcentral describes it as "partial contains 5.8S ribosomal RNA, internal transcribed spacer 2, and large subunit ribosomal RNA". The stretch from base 1 to 120 matches the Rfam family "5.8S ribosomal RNA", at positions 35 to 154 of the family's 154-position model. The record is from RNAcentral.